This 399-nucleotide ribosomal RNA is filed under the name uncultured bacterium. Its description in RNAcentral is "bacterial SSU rRNA". It matches the Rfam family "Bacterial small subunit ribosomal RNA", at positions 29 to 407 of the family's 1533-position model. The record is from RNAcentral.
AGCGAACGCUGGCGGCGUGCUUAACACAUGCAAGUCGAGGGAGAACGGUUGGCUUCGGCCUUCCUAGUAAACCGGCGCACGGGUGAGUAACACGUAGGUAACCUACCUUCGAGACUGGGAUAACCCAUCGAAAGAUGAGCUAAUACCAGAUAUGACCACGGGAGUUUCGGCUUCCGCGGUGAAAGAUGGCCUCUGCUUGCAAGCUAUCACUCGAGGAUGGGCCUGCGCGCCAUUAGCUAGUUGGUGGGGUAACGGCCCACCAAGGCUACGAUGGCUAGUUGGUCUGAGAGGAUGACCAGCCACACUGGGACUGAGACACGGCCCAGACUCCUACGGGAGGCAGCAGUGGGGAAUAUUGCGCAAUGGGCGAAAGCCUGAUCCAGCGACGCCGCGUGGGUG